RNAcentral lists this non-coding RNA (27 nucleotides) under Mus musculus (house mouse). Lineage: Eukaryota; Metazoa; Chordata; Mammalia; Rodentia; Muridae. The record is from RNAcentral.
UGCAGCCUCACCUUCAAGCAGACAGAG